GCGCCCAUAGCUCAACGGGAUAGAGCAUCAGCCUUCUAAGCUGAGGGUUCCGCGUUCGAGUCGCGGUGGGCGCA
RNAcentral lists this transfer RNA (74 nucleotides) under bacterium. RNAcentral's name for it is "tRNA-Arg". It matches the Rfam family "tRNA". From Rfam's summary of the family: Transfer RNA (tRNA) molecules are approximately 80 nucleotides in length. Their secondary structure includes four short double-helical elements and three loops (D, anti-codon, and T loops). The record is from RNAcentral. RNAcentral also lists the same sequence under 1 other name.